Molecule: ribosomal RNA, 429 nt
Filed under: Actinomycetes bacterium
Lineage: Bacteria; Bacillati; Actinomycetota; Actinomycetes
Description: Actinobacteria bacterium partial 16S ribosomal RNA
Rfam family: Bacterial small subunit ribosomal RNA
Source: RNAcentral
UAGGGAAUCUUCCGCAAUGGGCGAAAGCUUGACGGAGCAACGCCGCGUGAGUGAUGAAGGUCUUCGGAUCGUAAAACUCUGUUAUUAGAGAAGAACAAAUGUGUAAGUAACUAUGCACGUCUUGACGGUACCUAAUCAGAAAGCCACGGCUAACUACGUGCCAGCAGCCGCGGUAAUACGUAGGUGGCAAGCGUUAUCCGGAAUUAUUGGGCGUAAAGCGCGCGUAGGCGGUUUUUUAAGUCUGAUGUGAAAGCCCACGGCUCAACCGUGGAGGGUCAUUGGAAACUGGAAAACUUGAGUGCAGAAGAGGAAAGUGGAAUUCCAUGUGUAGCGGUGAAAUGCGCAGAGAUAUGGAGGAACACCAGUGGCGAAGGCGACUUUCUGGUCUGUAACUGACGCUGAUGUGCGAAAGCGUGGGGAUCAAACAGG